UACGUAGGGCGCAAGCGUUGUCCGGAAUUAUUGGGCGUAAAGAGCUCGUAGGCGGCUUGUUACGUCGGGUGUGAAAGCUUGGGGCUUAACUCCAGGUCUGCAUUCGAUACGGGCUGGCUAGAGGUAGGUAGGGGAGAACGGAAUUCCUGGUGUAGCGGUGAAAUGCGCAGAUAUCAGGAGGAACACCGAUGGCGAAGGCAGGUCUCUGGGCAGUAACUGACGCUGAGGAGCGAAAGCAUGGGGAGCGAACAGG
Molecule: ribosomal RNA, 253 nt
Filed under: uncultured bacterium
Lineage: Bacteria
Description: partial 16S ribosomal RNA
Rfam family: Bacterial small subunit ribosomal RNA
Source: RNAcentral